This 21-nucleotide non-coding RNA is filed under the name Caenorhabditis elegans. Lineage: Eukaryota; Metazoa; Nematoda; Chromadorea; Rhabditida; Rhabditidae. The record is from RNAcentral.
UUCACGCAUUAUUUCCAAAGA